GAAGCUGACCAGACAGUCGCCGCUUCGUCGUCGUCCUCUUCGGGGGAGACGGGCGGAGGGGAGGAAAGUCCGGGCUCCAUAGGGCAGGGUGCCAGGUAACGCCUGGGGGGGAAACCCACGACCAGUGCAACAGAGAGCAAACCGCCGAUGGCCCGCGUAAGCGGGAUCAGGUAAGGGUGAAAGGGUGCGGUAAGAGCGCACCGCGCGGCUGGUAACAGUCCGUGGCACGGUAAACUCCACCCGGAGCAAGGCCAAAUAGGGGUUCAUAAGGUACGGCCCGUACUGAACCCGGGUAGGCUGCUUGAGCCAGUGA
Molecule: RNase P RNA, 313 nt
Filed under: Escherichia coli
Lineage: Bacteria; Pseudomonadati; Pseudomonadota; Gammaproteobacteria; Enterobacterales; Enterobacteriaceae
Description: partial RNase P RNA component class A
Rfam family: Bacterial RNase P class A
About the family: Ribonuclease P (RNase P) is a ubiquitous endoribonuclease, found in archaea, bacteria and eukarya as well as chloroplasts and mitochondria. Its best characterised activity is the generation of mature 5'-ends of tRNAs by cleaving the 5'-leader elements of precursor-tRNAs.
Source: RNAcentral